GGAUCAAUAUGUUGGUCGUGCCUUGGUACGUACUAGUUUAUUGGUUUCUUCCUUCUGACGAACCAUGAUGUCAUUAAUUUGGUGUCGCAGGGAAUCAGGACUGUUACUUUGAAAAAAUUAGAGUGUUUAAAGCAGGCUUUAGCUUGAAUACAUUAGCAUGGAAUAAUGAAAUAGGACGUUUGAUCCUAUUUUGUUGGUUUCUAGGAUUGACGUA
RNAcentral lists this ribosomal RNA (214 nucleotides) under Campeiostachys nutans. RNAcentral's name for it is "Elymus nutans partial small subunit ribosomal RNA". The stretch from base 45 to 214 matches the Rfam family "Eukaryotic small subunit ribosomal RNA", at positions 693 to 864 of the family's 1831-position model. Lineage: Eukaryota; Viridiplantae; Streptophyta; Magnoliopsida; Poales; Poaceae. The record is from RNAcentral.